UGCGGUUUUCGCCAGAAAUGGUCGCAUUCGUAAUGCGGGGGUCACAGGUUCGAGUCCUGUAAGCGCAC
RNAcentral lists this transfer RNA (68 nucleotides) under Sphingomonas aerolata. RNAcentral describes it as "tRNA-Thr". It matches the Rfam family "tRNA". From Rfam's summary of the family: Transfer RNA (tRNA) molecules are approximately 80 nucleotides in length. The record is from RNAcentral. Lineage: Bacteria; Pseudomonadati; Pseudomonadota; Alphaproteobacteria; Sphingomonadales; Sphingomonadaceae.